GUUGUGGAGUUAGGGGAGCUCCUUCCCCCACUUCCCCGGGACUGUCUAUUAGGUGGGAUCAUGCUACCCUGGCCGCCAUUGUUUCCCAGGGAGGUCAAGCAAGCUCCAGCUGUCCACAGCAGUAAGUGGCCUGAUGACUACUGGCUGGUGUCUCUUCCUGUCUACCUUUCCCACUCCCCUCCUAGUGUUUCCGGGGCCACCCAUCACCUCCCAAAUAAAUGACUUGCACUCAAAUCCUUGCCACAGGGUCAUCUUCAAGAAAAACCCUAAAAGUUAGUUAGAUUCUCAGCAGAUUCCUUCCAUGGGCUAAGUCCUAGGACACCCACAUUUAUUCUCCAAUGUGGAAUUAAAUUCAACAAAUAGCUCCCAGACAGAAGACUUAGAAGUCACAGUGACAGGGGCCAUCAGGGGAAAUACAGCCAUCUCAAAAAUAAAUAAAUAAAUAAAUAAAUACAUAAAUAAUAAAUAAAUAAAUAAACAUUGGAUUGGAUUGACAGGAGGUUUAGUGGAGUGAUAGAGGUAAAAAGCUCUUGGAAUGUGUUCAAGAGAGGAUCAGAAGAGAUAAUGUAGAAAUAAUAAAUUUAGAAAAUUAUUUGGGUAAGUUUUUCUACAAAGAGUAGAGAAAUGGGGCAAGUACUGCCUCAACAAAGCAUCAUACUUCUACUUUUAAAAUAGAAUGGAAUAUAACCCAAUUACCAUGACAAAAACUGGUCAUAGCCAUCCUAACACAACCAGACUAGAUGCAUGAAGUGUUGCAGCAAGGAAGGAAGCCAUAGGAUCAAAAGAAUUAACAGACAUCCUGACCUACACUGCAGUGGUAAAGAGCACAGACUCUGUGAGCAGAUGGCCAUGUUCGAAUCCCAGCUCCUGCACUCAUUAUCCCUGUGACCCUGGGAGAGUUACUUAGCUUCUCCAGGACCCCCCACUUCCUCACACAUCAAAAUAUAUAUAACAACAGAUUUGCAAUGAGUAUUGUAGGGGUGCUGGCACCCCACUCAACCCCCCUUGGCAUGCCUUCUCCCUGUGAACACUUAUGUCUUCUUACCCCAGGCUCCCUACCUGUCUUUGCAGGGACUUCCUGGCCACCAAGUCAUAUUCAACACAUGAGUGAGGCAGACCGGAGUGCU
Molecule: long non-coding RNA, 1127 nt
Filed under: Homo sapiens (human)
Lineage: Eukaryota; Metazoa; Chordata; Mammalia; Primates; Hominidae
Description: HSALNT0151467
Source: RNAcentral